Molecule: unclassified non-coding RNA, 238 nt
Filed under: Photobacterium damselae subsp. damselae
Lineage: Bacteria; Pseudomonadati; Pseudomonadota; Gammaproteobacteria; Vibrionales; Vibrionaceae
Description: partial miscellaneous RNA
Source: RNAcentral
UAGCUCUUUAACAAUUUGGAAAGCUGACUAGUAAAUUCAAUCGAAUGAUUGAUUUAUUUUAAGUUUUUAUCGAAAGAUAAAAACGAGUUCUCAAAACAAACACAUUCAAGUGUCUUGUAUUUUUUGUCUUCACUUUUUAAAAGUGAAAGCAAAUAGUGAGUCCGGCGAAACAACGUCUAUCACAACUCAGAUAGACAACCUUGGUUGUUUGAACAUACGAAACCUCUUGGGGUUGUAU